Long non-coding RNA from Oncorhynchus nerka (sockeye salmon), 2213 nucleotides. RefSeq lists it as uncharacterized. The record is from RefSeq and is a predicted model, not a curated record. The transcript is spliced from 2 exons. Lineage: Eukaryota; Metazoa; Chordata; Actinopteri; Salmoniformes; Salmonidae.
UUGUGGCGUGGCGGAGAUCUUUGUGGGCUAUACUCAGCCUUGUCUCAGGAUGGUAAGUUGGUGGUUGAAGAUAUCCUUCUAGUGUGUGGGGGCUGUGCUUUGGCAAACUGGGUGGGGUUAUAUCCUUCCUGUUUGGCCCUGUCCGGGGGUGUCCUCGGAUGGGGCCACAGUGUCUCCUGACCCCUCCUGUCUCAGCCUCCAGUAUUUAUGCUGCAGUAGUUUAUGUGUCGGGGGGCUAGGGUCAGUUUGUUAUAUCUCGAGUACUUCUCCUGUUCUAUUCGGUGUCCUGUGUGAAUUUAAGUGUGCUCUCUCUCUAAUUCUCUCUUUCUCUAUCUCGGAGGACCUGAGCCCUAGGACCAUGCCUCAGGACUACCUGACAUGAUGACUCCUUGCUGUCCCCAGUCCACCUGGCCGUGCUGCUGCUCCAGUUUCAACUGUUCUGCCUUAUUAUUAUUCGACCAAGCUGGUCAUUUAUGAACAUUUGAACAUCUUGGCCAUGUUCUGUUAUAAUCUCCACCCGGCACAGCCAGAAGAGGACUGGCCACCCCACAUAGCCUGGUUCCUCUCUAGGUUUCUUCCUAGGUUUUGGCCUUUCUAGGGAGUUUUUCCUAGCCACCGUGCUUCUACACCUGCAUUGCUUGCUGUUUGGGGUUUUAGGCUGGGUUUCUGUACAGCACUUUGAGAUAUCAGCUGAUGUACGAAGGGCUAUAUAAAUACAUUUGAUUUGAUUUGAGUUAACUCACUGUUCCCUGAUAGGCUGUCAUUGUAAAAAUAAUUUGUUCUUAACUGACUUGCCUAGUUAAAUAAAAGCUAAAUAAAAUACUACAAGUACAGGACUUUGCAACAUCACACUGAAUUGUUCAAGCUGGAUAUUCUCUGUCUGUGAUGAGGUCAGUACACACUGUACCAAGAUACUCUGUCACUCUGUGAGGUCACCGUCUCCAGUUGUAAUGGAUUUAUCCAGUGUAUUGUCAACAAUCACAUCAAUGCAGAGACCAAAUCACAACGCAUGGUGUCUCAAUGUCAGUCUAAUUUACUAACUUCCGCUUUCUGUGAAUUCCUCUAUCAUUAUUUUUUUUAAAUCAACUAAGUUUUAUCAUUGCAGUUAUAUUCUUCUCCAGCAAAAAUGUGGAUAAUGCUGUUUUUGUGUGUAUAUGUGUGGGUGUGACAUCUCAGGUAUUGGUGAGAAGAAGGGGAUCGCUGCAGCAUCACUAGUUGGCAUCAUUGUGGGUAUUGUUACUGGUGGAUUAUUCUUAGUUGGUGUAGGAUGCAUCAUAUCAACCAGAAGAUGGCGAUCCCCUAAAGAAAUACUGCUUCUGAAGGUACCCUCUCAUUAAUCUAUGUUGAAACAACCGUAGAGUCUAUUGACAUACCGGUGCAUAAAUGCCGUUGUUCCAGAAGUUGAAAACCCAGUGAGCGCUAUACCAGGAAGACCAGAACCACAGAACACCCCUGGAUCUGAGGUGACAUCUAUCUACAUUUCUGCAAGGAGACCAGGAGCAGUACCAGCAUCAGCAGAAGGAGAAGAGGGCCAUCCAGGGGACAAAGAGUACACUUCACCAGAAGAGAGGAAAGAACCACAGUCCCCCCCACAGGCAGAGACAUUCUACAGCACCCUACAGAUACCAGCUGCAGCACAGCGCCACCCAGUGGACAAAGGAUAUAAUCUAAAGAAACCAGACACGGUGUACUGCACAAAAGGAGAUAAACUACCCUACUAAACUACCCCUGCAUCCCUCUCAAAGACCCCUGAUGUUACAUUGACUAAGACUUGACCCAUAGACUCAGAUACUGAACAGCAAACACAGGGGAAGUUACAAAGAAGAGAAUUAUGAUAAUUUAUUGUUUAUUUUGUUUUGGUCUAAUUUCAUCCAUAUUUGAAGUGGCAAUUUGCGAUUGCUACAUACUUUUAAAUGAGUGGUAUAUAACUAUUGAUUCAUGUAGAAUACAACAUAUGCUUGUUUAACUGCAUUGUUUGUAAACAUUGCAAUUGUAAAAACAAAAUGGCGGCAGGGUGCCCCUUUAGCAGUAGAGCGUUUUGCAUACUGUCUUAUUUUCUGUAAAUGAAUGUGAAAACAUGCAGAUGAAUACAGUAGCACUGUACAUGCUUGAAAUGUGUAAACAAAACAACUGAAUUGAAAAUGGGAAACCCAUCCAAUCAAUAAGUAAAUACAUAAACCAAUCAUUCAAUGAAUAAAUCAAUCAAGCAACAA